GAGAAAGCUGCUUCCACGGGGGCCAUCUGCCUUCCCAGAACCUCCCCCAGUGUCGCUUCUUCUGCCUCUGAGGCUGACCCCUCAUCCACGUGGCUGCCUGGGGAGGGGGGCAGACAAUCACCACACCGGCCCUGACCUCUUCUCCAGGCUGACUGCCCAGCUCCUUCCAACGGUCUUCCCAGGCGUGGCCUCUCUCACCUGGGUUGUCCUCUUCUCUGGCAGGGCUCCAGGCUGCCCGAGUCCUCCCUUAAACAGGGCGCCCACCGACGGAGGCUGCCCAGGACUUCUGGGAGCCCCCCUCACUUGACCCAGGAGGACAGGGAGGCGGGCGUGGGCUGAGGGAGCCCAUCCCCCACUGCGGGUGCAGCACCCCUUCCGCUCAGCUCAGCUCGGUCCUUCAGUGACACUGACCCUCCUGGGAGCCGACUUGGCAGCCGGCCACGGGCAGCUCUCUCCCCCGGUGACUCGCUCCCCCGGUGACUAGUCGGACAAAGCUCUUGCCUAAUCCUGAGGAUUUGGCGUGAAAGCCUCACAGAGCCGAUCCAUCACCACCGGGAGGACGGCUUGGCGGCUGUUUUCAGGGGGAAUUUCUGAAUCAGGAAGUGAGCACCGGCGCAGUGGAGCCUAAUCCUAGGCCAAGCCUUCGGACUUUUUCCAUGCCUCCAACGCCGUGCCUCCUCACCUCCUCUUGCUGGAAUCCCUAGCUGCCUUCCACAGAGAGCUCCUGGGUCCCGAUCACUGAGCAGCCUUUGGCUUCCGGGGCUGGCGAGCAGUGACUUACCGCAUGAUGGUGAGAAGGGAUUCCUGCUCCAGGCAGACACCAGACUCAUCCCUGCUAGCUUGGCAAUCCUUGAACCUGAGCCAUUGAGAAACUCUGCCCAGGAGUGAGAACGAUAGCGUGAUAACACUAGGGCCACAAGCUGGACGCUGUGCCCGGGCUGGAGCCAAGAUGGCGGCCCCAGAGCAUCCAGCAGCAGCAGAAGUCUCAUGACUCGGAGGGAUCAGGCCUGGGGGCUAGACCCAGUCCGGCAACAAACUCUUUCACUUCCAACUCUGUGGACUUCACUUUCCUCGGCUGAAAAAUGGGGUUUGGGAGUAAAUUGCUUCUAAGGUCCCUCCCACCUUUGACAUUCUCUGUUCUAAGCUCCCUCCCAGCUCUGACAUUCCAUGUCUCUAAGAUUUUUUUUAAAUGGAGGAUCGUUGCAGAGAACUCUGUGCUGAGGAAUUCAUUCCUAAUGUCAAUUAACCAUUUUUAAUUCUUUCUCAGUGACCUAGGAUGGGCAUGGGGAGAAGAAUGCAUCAGUCGAAGCUUGGUGUUGUAUUUAUAACAAGGGGACCCAUUCGCAAACUUGUAAAGUUGCUGCAAACGAACCUUUGGCCAAGGCUGGAGACACAUUUCCUUCCAUCUCCAAAGCCAAGUUGUCAACAGCAGGUUUUACAGGCAGGGGAUUGAAACCUUUUCCAGCGAAGGGCCAACGCCACCGUGUGGACAGGAAGGUCAGGGUUUAGUGGUCCAACACUGCCCCCUCGUGGCCACAUUCCAAAACUCUACCAGAGGGCUGAUGGCAGAAUUCUGCAAUGUCUCCGGGGUGGGGAACCCUGAUACUCUCUGCUUGAAGGCCCCUCUAGCUCUGACCUUCCCUGUUAUAAGGGCCCUCCCAUCCCUGACAUUCCCUGUUCUAAGGGCCCUCCCAGCUCUGACUUGCCCUGUUCUGUCCUUCCAUGUUCUAUGUUCUAAAGUCCCUUUAGGUUCUAACAGUUUGUGUUCAGAACCCUCCCUGCUUCGACAUCAUGCUCUCCACUAGGAAAUCAUCAGAACAGUUUCUUCUCUUGUGAGGACAGGCUUUCUGUCGAUUCUACAAGUGUUUCCCAAACAUUUCUACUCCUUUCAUCGCAACCUCCUUGGCAUUGGGGGAUGGAAGGAGAUGGGGUUCCUGCCCCCGCGGAGCUGAGAGUCCAGUAGAAACACCAGGGCAGAAGCACCAGCUUGUAUAACAAGAUGCCACUUCAGUGAGAGGUCGAGCUGCUGAGACUUGAGUCAGACCUUGAAGGGCAGGUUCUGUGACCAGGCUCCCGGAGGAGCCCGCCCAACCUGCCUGGCGGCUUGGCACGGUCAGGAGUUGACAGAGCCGGACAGA
Long non-coding RNA from Vombatus ursinus (common wombat), 2138 nucleotides. RefSeq lists it as uncharacterized. NCBI's taxonomy places the organism in Eukaryota, Metazoa, Chordata, Mammalia, Diprotodontia, Vombatidae. The record is from RefSeq and is a predicted model, not a curated record. The transcript is spliced from 3 exons.